CUCGGCUGGAUCGGUAGACAGGUGCUGCAUGGCUGUCGUCAGCUCGUGUCGUGAGAUGUUCGGUUAAGUCCGGCAACGAGCGCAACCCACAUCUUUAGUUGCCAGCAGUUCGGCUGGGCACUCUAAAGAAACUGCCCGUGAUAAGCGGGAGGAAGGUGUGGAUGACGUCAAGUCCUCAUGGCCCUUACGGGUUGGGCUACACACGUGCUACAAUGGUAGUGACAGUGAGUUAAUCUCCAAAAGCUAUCUCAGUUCGGAUUGGGGUCUGCAACUCGACCCCAUGAAGUCGGAAUCGCUAGUAAUCGCGUAACAGCAUGACGCGGUGAAUACGUUCCCGGGCCUUGUACACACCGCCCGUCACACCAUGGGAGUUGGUUCUACCUGACGGCCGUGCGCUAACCUUCGGGAGGCAGCGGACCACGGUAGGAUCAGCGACUGGGGUGAAGUCGUAACAAGGUAGCCGUAAAGGGCGA
RNAcentral lists this ribosomal RNA (473 nucleotides) under uncultured Alphaproteobacteria bacterium. RNAcentral describes it as "bacterial SSU rRNA". It matches the Rfam family "Bacterial small subunit ribosomal RNA", at positions 1017 to 1512 of the family's 1533-position model. The record is from RNAcentral. Lineage: Bacteria; Pseudomonadati; Pseudomonadota; Alphaproteobacteria.